RNAcentral lists this ribosomal RNA (1380 nucleotides) under Enterococcus durans. Its description in RNAcentral is "bacterial SSU rRNA". It matches the Rfam family "Bacterial small subunit ribosomal RNA", at positions 76 to 1436 of the family's 1533-position model. Lineage: Bacteria; Bacillati; Bacillota; Bacilli; Lactobacillales; Enterococcaceae. The record is from RNAcentral.
GAGCUUGCUCCACCGGAAAAAGAAGAGUGGCGAACGGGUGAGUAACACGUGGGUAACCUGCCCAUCAGAAGGGGAUAACACUUGGAAACAGGUGCUAAUACCGUAUAACAAUCGAAACCGCAUGGUUUUGAUUUGAAAGGCGCUUUCGGGUGUCGCUGAUGGAUGGACCCGCGGUGCAUUAGCUAGUUGGUGAGGUAACGGCUCACCAAGGCCACGAUGCAUAGCCGACCUGAGAGGGUGAUCGGCCACAUUGGGACUGAGACACGGCCCAAACUCCUACGGGAGGCAGCAGUAGGGAAUCUUCGGCAAUGGACGAAAGUCUGACCGAGCAACGCCGCGUGAGUGAAGAAGGUUUUCGGAUCGUAAAACUCUGUUGUUAGAGAAGAACAAGGAUGAGAGUAACUGUUCAUCCCUUGACGGUAUCUAACCAGAAAGCCACGGCUAACUACGUGCCAGCAGCCGCGGUAAUACGUAGGUGGCAAGCGUUGUCCGGAUUUAUUGGGCGUAAAGCGAGCGCAGGCGGUUUCUUAAGUCUGAUGUGAAAGCCCCCGGCUCAACCGGGGAGGGUCAUUGGAAACUGGGAGACUUGAGUGCAGAAGAGGAGAGUGGAAUUCCAUGUGUAGCGGUGAAAUGCGUAGAUAUAUGGAGGAACACCAGUGGCGAAGGCGGCUCUCUGGUCUGUAACUGACGCUGAGGCUCGAAAGCGUGGGGAGCAAACAGGAUUAGAUACCCUGGUAGUCCACGCCGUAAACGAUGAGUGCUAAGUGUUGGAGGGUUUCCGCCCUUCAGUGCUGCAGCUAACGCAUUAAGCACUCCGCCUGGGGAGUACGACCGCAAGGUUGAAACUCAAAGGAAUUGACGGGGGCCCGCACAAGCGGUGGAGCAUGUGGUUUAAUUCGAAGCAACGCGAAGAACCUUACCAGGUCUUGACAUCCUUUGACCACUCUAGAGAUAGAGCUUCCCCUUCGGGGGCAAAGUGACAGGUGGUGCAUGGUUGUCGUCAGCUCGUGUCGUGAGAUGUUGGGUUAAGUCCCGCAACGAGCGCAACCCUUAUUGUUAGUUGCCAUCAUUUAGUUGGGCACUCUAGCAAGACUGCCGGUGACAAACCGGAGGAAGGUGGGGAUGACGUCAAAUCAUCAUGCCCCUUAUGACCUGGGCUACACACGUGCUACAAUGGGAAGUACAACGAGUCGCGAAGUCGCGAGGCUAAGCUAAUCUCUUAAAGCUUCUCUCAGUUCGGAUUGUAGGCUGCAACUCGCCUACAUGAAGCCGGAAUCGCUAGUAAUCGCGGAUCAGCACGCCGCGGUGAAUACGUUCCCGGGCCUUGUACACACCGCCCGUCACACCACGAGAGUUUGUAACACCCGAAGUCGGUGAGGU